This is a small nuclear RNA of Hyaena hyaena (striped hyena), 110 nucleotides long. The record is from RefSeq and is a predicted model, not a curated record. Lineage: Eukaryota; Metazoa; Chordata; Mammalia; Carnivora; Hyaenidae.
GUGCUCACUUUGGCAGUUACAUAUAUACUAAAGUUGGAAUAAUAUAGAGAAGAUUAGCAUGGACUCUGUGCAAGGAUGACAUGCAAAUUCCUGAAGUGUUCCAUAAAAAC